GGGUUGUGAGGUUAAGCGACUAAGCGUACACGGUGGAUGCCCUGGCAGUCAGAGGCGAUGAAGGGCGUGCUAAUCUGCGAUAAGCGCCGGUAAGGUGAUAUGAACCGUUAUAACCGGCGAUACCCGAAUGGGGAAACCCAGUGUGAUUCGUCACACUAUCAUUAACUGAAUCCAUAGGUUAAUGAGGCGAACCGGGGGAACUGAAACAUCUAAGUACCCCGAGGAAAAGAAAUCAACCGAGAUUCCCCCAGUAGCGGCGAGCGAACGGGGAGGAGCCCAGAGCCUGAAUCAGCAUGUGUGUUAGUGGAAGCGUCUGGAAAGGCGCGCGAUACAGGGUGACAGCCCCGUACACAAAAGCGCAUGUGCUGUGAGCUCGAUGAGUAGGGCGGGACACGUGGUAUCCUGUCUGAAUAUGGGGGGACCAUCCUCCAAGGCUAAAUACUCCUGACUGACCGAUAGUGAACCAGUACCGUGAGGGAAAGGCGAAAAGAACCCCGGCGAGGGGAGUGAAAAAGAACCUGAAACCGUGUACGUACAAGCAGUGGGAGCACAGGUUUACCUGUGUGACUGCGUACCUUUUGUAUAAUGGGUCAGCGACUUAUAUUCUGUAGCAAGGUUAACCGUAUAGGGGAGCCGUAGGGAAACCGAGUCUUAAUUGGGCGUUAAGUUGCAGGGUAUAGACCCGAAACCCGGUGAUCUAGCCAUGGGCAGGUUGAAGGUUGGGUAACACUAACUGGAGGACCGAACCGACUAAUGUUGAAAAAUUAGCGGAUGACCUGUGGCUGGGGGUGAAAGGCCAAUCAAACCGGGAGAUAGCUGGUUCUCCCCGAAAGCUAUUUAGGUAGCGCCUCGUGAAUUCAUCUCCGGGGGUAGAGCACUGUUUCGGCUAGGGGGCCAUCCCGGCUUACCAACCCGAUGCAAACUGCGAAUACCGGAGAAUGUUAUCACGGGAGACACACGGCGGGUGCUAACGUCCGUCGUGAAGAGGGAAACAACCCAGACCGCCAGCUAAGGUCCCAAAGUCAUGGUUAAGUGGGAAACGAUGUGGGAAGGCACAGACAGCCAGGAUGUUGGCUUAGAAGCAGCCAUCAUUUAAAGAAAGCGUAAUAGCUCACUGGUCGAGUCGGCCUGCGCGGAAGAUGUAACGGGGCUAAACCAUGCACCGAAGCUGCGGCAGCGACGUUUAUGCGUUGUUGGGUAGGGGAGCGUUCUGUAAGCCUGCGAAGGUGGCCUGUGAGGGUUGCUGGAGGUAUCAGAAGUGCGAAUGCUGACAUAAGUAACGAUAAAGCGGGUGAAAAGCCCGCUCGCCGGAAGACCAAGGGUUCCUGUCCAACGUUAAUCGGGGCAGGGUGAGUCGACCCCUAAGGCGAGGCCGAAAGGCGUAGUCGAUGGGAAACGGGUUAAUAUUCCCGUACUUGGUGUUACUGCGAAGGGGGGACGGAGAAGGCUAUGUUGGCCGGGCGACGGUUGUCCCGGUUUAAGCGUGUAGGCUGGUUUUCCAGGCAAAUCCGGAAAAUCAAGGCUGAGGCGUGACGACGAGGCACUACGGUGCUGAAGCAACAAAUGCCCUGCUUCCAGGAAAAGCCUCUAAGCAUCAGGUAACAUCAAAUCGUACCCCAAACCGACACAGGUGGUCAGGUAGAGAAUACCAAGGCGCUUGAGAGAACUCGGGUGAAGGAACUAGGCAAAAUGGUGCCGUAACUUCGGGAGAAGGCACGCUGACACGUAGGUGAAGUGAUUUACUCAUGGAGCUGAAGUCAGUCGAAGAUACCAGCUGGCUGCAACUGUUUAUUAAAAACACAGCACUGUGCAAACACGAAAGUGGACGUAUACGGUGUGACGCCUGCCCGGUGCCGGAAGGUUAAUUGAUGGGGUCAGCGCAAGCGAAGCUCCUGAUCGAAGCCCCGGUAAACGGCGGCCGUAACUAUAACGGUCCUAAGGUAGCGAAAUUCCUUGUCGGGUAAGUUCCGACCUGCACGAAUGGCGUAAUGAUGGCCAGGCUGUCUCCACCCGAGACUCAGUGAAAUUGAACUCGCUGUGAAGAUGCAGUGUACCCGCGGCAAGACGGAAAGACCCCGUGAACCUUUACUAUAGCUUGACACUGAACAUUGAGCCUUGAUGUGUAGGAUAGGUGGGAGGCUUUGAAGCGUGGACGCCAGUCUGCGUGGAGCCGACCUUGAAAUACCACCCUUUAAUGUUUGAUGUUCUAACGUGGACCCGUAAUCCGGGUUGCGGACAGUGUCUGGUGGGUAGUUUGACUGGGGCGGUCUCCUCCUAAAGAGUAACGGAGGAGCACGAAGGUUGGCUAAUCCUGGUCGGACAUCAGGAGGUUAGUGCAAUGGCAUAAGCCAGCUUGACUGCGAGCGUGACGGCGCGAGCAGGUGCGAAAGCAGGUCAUAGUGAUCCGGUGGUUCUGAAUGGAAGGGCCAUCGCUCAACGGAUAAAAGGUACUCCGGGGAUAACAGGCUGAUACCGCCCAAGAGUUCAUAUCGACGGCGGUGUUUGGCACCUCGAUGUCGGCUCAUCACAUCCUGGGGCUGAAGUAGGUCCCAAGGGUAUGGCUGUUCGCCAUUUAAAGUGGUACGCGAGCUGGGUUUAGAACGUCGUGAGACAGUUCGGUCCCUAUCUGCCGUGGGCGCUGGAGAACUGAGGGGGGCUGCUCCUAGUACGAGAGGACCGGAGUGGACGCAUCACUGGUGUUCGGGUUGUCAUGCCAAUGGCACUGCCCGGUAGCUAAAUGCGGAAGAGAUAAGUGCUGAAAGCAUCUAAGCACGAAACUUGCCCCGAGAUGAGUUCUCCCUGAGACUUAGAGUCUCCUGAAGGAACGUUGAAGACGACGACGUUGAUAGGCCGGGUGUGUAAGCGCAGCGAUGCGUUGAGCUAACCGGUACUAAUGAACCGUGAGGCUUAACCUUACAACGCCGAAG
Molecule: ribosomal RNA, 2927 nt
Filed under: Salmonella enterica subsp. enterica serovar Bareilly str. CFSAN000228
Lineage: Bacteria; Pseudomonadati; Pseudomonadota; Gammaproteobacteria; Enterobacterales; Enterobacteriaceae
Description: 23S ribosomal RNA
Rfam family: Bacterial large subunit ribosomal RNA
Source: RNAcentral